UUAAGCGACUAAGCGUACACGGUGGAUGCCCUGGCAGUCAGAGGCGAUGAAGGACGUGCUAAUCUGCGAUAAGCGUCGGUGAGGUGAUAUGAACCGUUAUAACCGGCGAUUUCCGAAUGGGGAAACCCAGUGUGUUUCGACACACUAUCAUUAACUGAAUCCAUAGGUUAAUGAGGCGAACCGGGGGAACUGAAACAUCUAAGUACCCCGAGGAAAAGAAAUCAACCGAGAUUCCCCCAGUAGCGGCGAGCGAACGGGGAGGAGCCCAGAGCCUGAAUCAGUGUGUGUGUUAGUGGAAGCGUCUGGAAAGGCGUGCGAUACAGGGUGACAGCCCCGUACACAAAAAUGCACAUAUUGUGAGCUCGAUGAGUAGGGCGGGACACGUGGUAUCCUGUCUGAAUAUGGGGGGACCAUCCUCCAAGGCUAAAUACUCCUGACUGACCGAUAGUGAACCAGUACCGUGAGGGAAAGGCGAAAAGAACCCCGGCGAGGGGAGUGAAAAAGAACCUGAAACCGUGUACGUACAAGCAGUGGGAGCCUCUUAAUGGGGUGACUGCGUACCUUUUGUAUAAUGGGUCAGCGACUUAUAUUCUGUAGCAAGGUUAACCGAAUAGGGGAGCCGAAGGGAAACCGAGUCUUAACUGGGCGUUAAGUUGCAGGGUAUAGACCCGAAACCCGGUGAUCUAGCCAUGGGCAGGUUGAAGGUUGGGUAACACUAACUGGAGGACCGAACCGACUAAUGUUGAAAAAUUAGCGGAUGACUUGUGGCUGGGGGUGAAAGGCCAAUCAAACCGGGAGAUAGCUGGUUCUCCCCGAAAGCUAUUUAGGUAGCGCCUCGUGAAUUCAUCUCCGGGGGUAGAGCACUGUUUCGGCAAGGGGGUCAUCCCGACUUACCAACCCGAUGCAAACUGCGAAUACCGGAGAAUGUUAUCACGGGAGACACACGGCGGGUGCUAACGUCCGUCGUGAAGAGGGAAACAACCCAGACCGCCAGCUAAGGUCCCAAAGUCAUGGUUAAGUGGGAAACGAUGUGGGAAGGCCCAGACAGCCAGGAUGUUGGCUUAGAAGCAGCCAUCAUUUAAAGAAAGCGUAAUAGCUCACUGGUCGAGUCGGCCUGCGCGGAAGAUGUAACGGGGCUAAACCAUGCACCGAAGCUGCGGCAGCGACACUAUGUGUUGUUGGGUAGGGGAGCGUUCUGUAAGCCUGUGAAGGUGGCCUGUGAGGGUUGCUGGAGGUAUCAGAAGUGCGAAUGCUGACAUAAGUAACGAUAAAGCGGGUGAAAAGCCCGCUCGCCGGAAGACCAAGGGUUCCUGUCCAACGUUAAUCGGGGCAGGGUGAGUCGACCCCUAAGGCGAGGCCGAAAGGCGUAGUCGAUGGGAAACAGGUUAAUAUUCCUGUACUUGGUGUUACUGCGAAGGGGGGACGGAGAAGGCUAUGUUGGCCGGGCGACGGUUGUCCCGGUUUAAGCGUGUAGGCUGGUUUUCCAGGCAAAUCCGGAAAACCAAGGCUGAGGCGUGAUGACGAAGCACUACGGUGCUGAAGCGACAAAUGCCCUGCUUCCAGGAAAAGCCUCUAAGCAUCAGGUAACAUCAAAUCGUACCCCAAACCGACACAGGUGGUCAGGUAGAGAAUACCAAGGCGCUUGAGAGAACUCGGGUGAAGGAACUAGGCAAAAUGGUGCCGUAACUUCGGGAGAAGGCACGCUGAUAUGUAGGUGAAGCGACUUGCUCGUGGAGCUGAAAUCAGUCGAAGAUACCAGCUGGCUGCAACUGUUUAUUAAAAACACAGCACUGUGCAAACACGAAAGUGGACGUAUACGGUGUGACGCCUGCCCGGUGCCGGAAGGUUAAUUGAUGGGGUUAGCGGUAACGCGAAGCUCUUGAUCGAAGCCCCGGUAAACGGCGGCCGUAACUAUAACGGUCCUAAGGUAGCGAAAUUCCUUGUCGGGU
Molecule: ribosomal RNA, 1949 nt
Filed under: human gut metagenome
Description: bacterial LSU rRNA
Rfam family: Bacterial large subunit ribosomal RNA
Source: RNAcentral